GGAAUGUUCUGGAAUCAGUGGUGAUGGGGGCAGGGGCAAGCCCUGUGACUCCUCUAGAGAACAGACCCAUACACACAGGGCGAACUCUGUGCAAUGUGAAAUCACUCAAUGAAACAGUUACUUAAAAGUCUGUCUUUAGACAAGGCGAGAAGCAUGGAAGGACUUUGAUCAGCCAUGCUGACGCAAUGAGGCACCCAACAGUGGAAGUGUCGUCGGUCUAACAGUGAGGACAGAAAAGACUCUCAUGAGCCCACUGAGCUACAUCCAGGAGCUGACUGAAGCUGGAGGCAGCUGCACAGAAAAGAGUAAGUGCACAGUCAAAAGCUAUUUCCGUGUACUUGGAAUGACUCCCACUGAAUCAGACGGCAAUGGAACCUCUGGAGGCAGCCUGCAAGUCAAAGGGAACCCUGGGGCUUUAUUCAUCAACUCCCUCCCCAGCCUGCUAGGGUAACCAUGGCAACACUGACCUAGGUUGCUUCUGAGACUGUCAGGUUGUAGCAAG
Long non-coding RNA from Mesocricetus auratus (golden hamster), 502 nucleotides. RefSeq lists it as uncharacterized. The record is from RefSeq and is a predicted model, not a curated record. Lineage: Eukaryota; Metazoa; Chordata; Mammalia; Rodentia; Cricetidae. The transcript has 3 exons.